Molecule: unclassified non-coding RNA, 1782 nt
Filed under: Leishmania donovani
Lineage: Eukaryota; Euglenozoa; Kinetoplastea; Trypanosomatida; Trypanosomatidae
Description: gene:unknown
Source: RNAcentral
CCGUUCCGGCUUCACACUAGUCAUAAGGUUCCACUCCUGCAGUUAGUCAUGCGCAUUUCGACCGUCUCCUUUGCACGACGUACAUAUGAUGAGGUGUGAUGUGCCAGAAAUAAAAACAUCAAAAUUCCCUUUUCACCCAAACCCGCAACACAACUACAUUGCUGUAAUCGUUUGUUUCCACCACAGCAGCGCUUGACUGUGUAAAUUCAAAGCUUAUCCUUGAUACGCGUUGUACUCUUCUCCAACCAAAUCGUCGUAGUAGCUAUCAUCUAUAGUUUCCCUUUUUUUCAGGCGCCCAUCCGACCAUGCAACAUGAGCUCAACUCCAGUCUGCUUGCGCUGGCACGGCCCUGUUGCGUGGUGCGAUGCAGUCGUAGGCACGCGGCACAGCAAUGCACCGACUCCGUCAUCUGAGCACGGCCUCCACCCGCAACUCUGCACCCCACUCGCUUCGCUGGCGGCUCCGACGCAACGCCAUCCAGGAGCUGACCGCCGGCAUCAGCAGCGUUGAAUUGCUCUGGCUCGCCCAUGUCUUAGGUGCCUGACCCUGUCACCGCCUCCAGUGGCCGUGCAUUGGCAGGAACAGGGGCUGCCUGGCUUCCUCACACGGAGUGGGGGUGCCGGGCCUAGAUACCCCGCUGAGGCAUUUUCCCGUCAUCGAAUGUGGCGCAGUCUGAGAAAGGAAAAUAACGGUUCGAAUGUUCCGUGGUCGUGCGGUGAGCCUGCUACUCUGGAGAGCACCGGCAUCGCCCGUUUUUAGAGUCGUAUGCUGUGUUGUGAACCACGAGUGUUUAUGCUGCUACUGCUAUUUUUUCCGGGGUCAGCCUCGCAGUAACGGUUGCACACCGGGACAAAAGCGUUUAUGGUCUUAGAUUAGGGUCUUCUACACACACUUUUACAGCCGCAAGGGGCUAAUAAACUUCAGAGGGUAGCACAGUGCACUCGGACAGUGGGUUGCAGACAGACCGCAAAGCGCAAUCAUUCGCAGGAUUUACCUUUCACAAAAAAACGCGGUGGUUCUUAAGCACUAGAGGAACGGUUUUUUUUUUCACACCACUGGUACCGCGAUGGGUACCGCGAUGCAACGUCGUUUUGCUGGCAAAUCGACCUCCACAAGUUGCCAGCUCCAAUCGCUGCGUAGACGAGGCGUUGUGGCCAAAAUUUGUGUGCGGAUAGAGCUGUCGACAUUUCAGAUAUACAGCGACAGACAGUGCGACGUAAUUUUGAAUGGAGUACCGAAGAACAGAAAGCUUCUAUUUUUCUUUGUGAAGAAAACAGUUCCUUGACGAUGGGAAAAUGCCUCAGCGCGGGGCACCUAGGUCCGGCACCCCCACUCUGUGUGGGGAAGCCAGGCAGCCCCUGCUCCUGCCAAUGCACGGCCACUGGAGGCGGUGACAGGGUCAGGCACCUAAGACAUGGGCGAGCCAGAGCAAUUCAACGCUGCUGAUGCCGGCGGUCAGCUCCUGGAUGGCGUUGCGUCGGAGCCGCCAGCGAAGCGAGUGGGGUGCAGAGUUGCGGGUGGAGGCCGUGCUCAGAUGACGGAGUCGGUGCAUUGCUGUGCCGCGUGCCUACGACUGCAUCGCACCACGCAACAGGGCCGUGCCAGCGCAAGCAGACUGGAGUUGAGCUCAUGUUGCACGGCCGGAUAUGAACGGUGAAAAAAAAAAUAUUGUUGCAGAAACCCCCUCACUUCGGUGCGCUGAUAGCGAAUGAGGUAGACCACCCUGACCACCUUACCACUCUUUCCCCCCGGCCCGGGAGCCCCUUCGCUGGCGACCGCCAG